GUGGACACAGCGUCCCUCCCCUCUGGAGGAUGCAGCAACAAAAUGCCUCCUUGGAAGCUGAGAGCAGCCCUCACUGGACAACAGAACCUGCUGGCGCUGUGAUCUUGGACUUCCCAACCUCCAGAACAGACUGACUGUAGUCAUAAAGCAGGAUGGACAGCAUCCAGCUGGGUCUUGAGUGGUGGCCCAUACCGAUGUGGACUCCCAUGAUCUGGACUGGCUGGGAGGAUGCUACUGCCUGGUGGCCCCACGCCUGUUGGCCAUGGGAGUUUUGGCCUUCACGUGUUAACUGAAAUAAUGAACACCAUGGUGCUCCAGGUCUCUCGCUCCCAUCCAGGCAUUCUCCACCUGAUAUCUCUCUGGAGGGUGGAUGCUUUUGUCAGCUGUGUCCUCAAUAAACUGCAACCAGGCAUGGGGCAAUGUGGAGGGAGGGAAGAGAUUUAAAUUCAUUUUCUGGGGGGAAGAGUCACCUCCUACUGGAAUCAAGAGCUAAAAAGAGUUCUCCCAUGUGUGCAGUGCCACGUAACUUCCGGUGUAAUGCCACGAAACACCCACACGUGGAAAACACAGUUGCCAGUUCUUCCUCCUCCACCGUGCAGCUCCGGGGAGCUGUGGGGAGCCAGCCCCCUCCAGAAUUAUCUGAUGCCAGCGUUGGCGUGGACAUAAUAAUGAACAAAUAAGCAUUUUUUUAAAUUGACAAGGUGAAAAAGAAGGUUUAGGAUUAAGGAAUCUUGCCUGAGGAUUAGUCGAAUGUCAGUGAGGAGAAAUAACACUGAAUAGACCCAAAAUAUGUUUUCAGGAAACCUCGAAAAUGCUUUCUGCAUAAUAUUAUAUCUCCCUCUGCUAGAACUGCCAAUUUUGAGUUUCUCACUAUUUUUAUUUUCUUGAGAAAUGAUCAUUUUUAUAAAUAGCCUUUUAAAUGUCAAACUAACUGGUUGAAUAAUUUAUCUCUACUUCUUAUCCUGAAUAACUCAACCCUUGCUUGAUUUUCUAAAGGGUUGGGGGAAAGGGGUUCUCAGACAUAAGCGCCCAGAAUAAAUCCUUCUGUCUGUUAGAGGCUUUGGCUGUCUCCUUUCCCGCGGGUGGUGUGGGCUCCCUGUGGCUGGAAGGCGGCUGUCCUUCCGACGGCUUGCUUCCGCUUGGCUCUGCUCGCUCUUCAGUCACAGCCACAGCAGGGUCCAUGAAGGCAGAUGACAGACGGGAACCCCCAAGAGGCACCUAACCAGGGAUCACGUGUGCUUUCCAUGAAGCCACAGGAGGACCAUGACUCACUCCUCAGAGCAGCAACCCAGGGCUGCGGCAUGAUGGGCCUGGUCGGCGCUGGGUGCCUCGUUCGGUGCCGGCAGGAACCAGCACGCACUCAGGCUGAUGAGACCAGGAGGGUCAGCUGGACCCUGACCAUGGUUCUCAAAGGGUGUGCCAGGACCUGCAACAGAAGCACCACUUGGGAACUUGUCAGAAAUGCAAAUUCUUGCCCCUCCUCUAGGCCCGCUGAAUCCUAAACUCUGGAGGUGGGGCCAAGCCAUCUGUGAAUGAACUCCCGCUCCGGGUCGCACCGACCCACCCUCACGUGUGAGAACCCCGGUCUAGGACCCUGGUUCUCCAACUCGCCUGUAUAUGUUUUCAAAAUGCUUGACCUCUCACUGGGAAUUUUUUAAAAAAUAAAUUUUAAAAAUGCUAACAA
Molecule: long non-coding RNA, 1684 nt
Organism: Homo sapiens (human)
Lineage: Eukaryota; Metazoa; Chordata; Mammalia; Primates; Hominidae
Exons: 2
Source: RefSeq, a predicted model, not a curated record